GACGAACGCUGGCGGCGUGCUUAAUACAUGCAAGUCGAACGGAAAGGCCCUGCUCUUGUGGCGUUCACGAGUGGCGAACGGGUGAGUAACACGCGAGUAACCCGCCCCUGUCUUUGGGAGAACACCAGGAAACUCGGGCUAAUACCGGAUAGGAGCUCCUGCUGCACGGUGGGGGUUGGAAAGUUUCGGCGGUUGGGGAUGGACUCGCGGCUUAUCAGCUUGUUGGUGGGGUAGUGGCUUACCAAGGCUGUGACGGGUAGCCGGCAUGAGAGGGUGAACGGCGACAAGGGGACUGAGAGACGGACCAGACGCCUACGGUAGGCAGUAGUGGGGAAUAUGGCGCAACGGGGGGAAGCCUGAUGCAGCAACGCCGCGUGCGGGAUGACGGCCUACGGGUUGUGAACCGCUUUCGCAUGUGACGAAGCGUGAGUGACGGUAAUGGGUAAAGAAGCACCGGCUAACUACGUG
RNAcentral lists this ribosomal RNA (468 nucleotides) under uncultured bacterium. RNAcentral's name for it is "partial 16S ribosomal RNA". It matches the Rfam family "Bacterial small subunit ribosomal RNA", at positions 28 to 507 of the family's 1533-position model. The record is from RNAcentral.